Molecule: ribosomal RNA, 491 nt
Filed under: uncultured bacterium
Lineage: Bacteria
Description: partial 16S ribosomal RNA
Rfam family: Bacterial small subunit ribosomal RNA
Source: RNAcentral
AGUGAACGCUGGCGGUAGGCCUAGCACAUGCAAGUCGAACGGCAGCACAGUAAGAGCUUGCUCUUACGGGUGGCGAGUGGCGGACGGGUGAGGAAUACAUCGGAAUCUACUUUUUCGUGGGGGAUAACGUAGGGAAACUUACGCUAUACCGCAUACGACCUACGGGUGAAAGCAGGGGAUCUUCGGACCUUGCGCGAUUGAAUGAGCCGAUGUCGGAUUAGCUAGUUGGCGGGGUAAAGGCCCACCAAGGCGACGAUCCGUAGCUGGUCUGAGAGGAUGAUCAGCCACACUGGAACUGAGACACGGUCCAGACUCCUACGGGAGGCAGCAGUGGGGAAUAUUGGACAAUGGGCGCAAGCCUGAUCCAGCCAUACCGCGUGGGUGAAGAAGGCCUUCGGGUUGUAAAGCCCUUUUGUUGGGAAAGAAAAGCAGCAGGUUAAUACCCCGCUGUUCUGACGGUACCCAAAGAAUAAGCACCGGCUAACUUCGUG